RNAcentral lists this ribosomal RNA (429 nucleotides) under Bacteroidota bacterium. RNAcentral describes it as "Bacteroidetes bacterium partial 16S ribosomal RNA". It matches the Rfam family "Bacterial small subunit ribosomal RNA", at positions 355 to 776 of the family's 1533-position model. Lineage: Bacteria; Pseudomonadati; Bacteroidota. The record is from RNAcentral.
UAGGGAAUCUUCGGCAAUGGGGGGAACCCUGACCGAGCAACGCCGCGUGAGUGAAGAAGGUUUUCGGAUCGUAAAGCUCUGUUGUUAAGGAAGAACGAGUGUGAGAAUGGAAAGUUCAUACUGUGACGGUACUUAACCAGAAAGGGACGGCUAACUACGUGCCAGCAGCCGCGGUAAUACGUAGGUCCCGAGCGUUGUCCGGAUUUAUUGGGCGUAAAGCGAGCGCAGGCGGUUAGAUACGACUGAAGUUAAAGGCAGUGGCUCAACCAUUGUAGGCUUUGGAAACUGUUUAACUUGAGUGCAGAAGGGGAGAGUGGAAUUCCAUGUGUAGCGGUGAAAUGCGUAGAUAUAUGGAGGAACACCGGUGGCGAAAGCGGCUCUCUGGUCUGUAACUGACGCUGAGGCUCGAAAGCGUGGGGAGCGAACAGG